RNAcentral lists this long non-coding RNA (261 nucleotides) under Mytilus galloprovincialis (Mediterranean mussel). The record is from RNAcentral. Lineage: Eukaryota; Metazoa; Mollusca; Bivalvia; Mytilida; Mytilidae.
AGAUAUAAGUUUGGAAGUCACAGGCUUGGUGACAAGUUCCAGUCUUGGAAAUAAAUUAUAUACUAAGUGGAAUUAAUCUUCUGUGUAUUACUACUAGUUUAUGGUGCAUGGUUACUUAGGUUUAACAUUUAGUUGUGACCAAAUCCUCAUAUCAGUCUCCUAGUUUUAGACUGUGGAUUUCUUGGUUACACAUAUAUGAAUAGAUAGUUCGAAAAAUAUGGGGGAGGGAAGUAUAAUUGACAAUUAAAAACUGAAUCCAAC